CGUGCCCGAUUCCUAGCGACCCCAUGGACUGCAGCCUACCAGGCUCCUCCAUCCAUGGGAUUUUCCAGGCAAGAGUACUGGAGUGGGGUGCCAUCGCUGUCUCCAUCCUCUGCUCCUACAUCCCCCCAGAAAACUUCUCCGCUGUAGGUGUGGUUGUACUUUGGUUUUCUAAGCAUGCACGCCUCCUUGCUACAUGUUCAUUUUUUCUCUUCCCAUUGACCACAGACCAAUAAUUGGCUGGCUGGGGGGUUGUUUUUCAGUGAAAUGUGAAAUCUUCCUCUUUGGUGAAGUAAACAUUUUGCACCUUCAGCAUCCAGUUUGAACACUGAUUCACCUCGGGCUAGUACCCCUCAGAGCUGGGUGUGGUCUCGGAAGUGUUCUGGAAUCCAGUUGAGUGCUUCUGGGAGAACGGAGAGGUGGCUGGUCUCAGGGUUGGUCACUUGCCAAUCGGGCCUUCUGAAAAGCGAGAGGUCAAGUCAAAGUGCCGUGGCUGGGGCUCCCGGGGCGGUCCAGGGUUUGAGACUCCGCACUUGCAUGGCAGGGGGCACGGGUUCCACCCCUGGUUGGGGAACUAAUAUCCCAUGUGCCUCACAGCGUAGCUGGAAAAACAAUGCCCACCAGAAAGCCCCGCCGCUUUGCCCACUGUCCUGCUGGCGCCAGCACAGUUGGCUUUUCUUCCACAGGGUGAUGGACGUGCGUGUUGUCACGGGGAGAGCACUGGCCUCGGAGUGUGGACCGUGGGACUGGGGUCCAUCCCCUAAAAGCGGGGGGUGGGCGGGGGGAGGGCAGUCCUGGAACCAAUCCCCAGCAGGAACUGAGGAAUGAUUGUGUUUGGGACAGAGGGAUCAGAAGCUUGAGAGGCAAGGGUGGGGAAGAAAACUUCUGUUUUGUUGCCCAUAGGCAGACUCACGCUGGGACUCCAGCGAAAACUUGGGAGUUGACUGGACCUGGGCAAGGACUUACCAUGGGCUUCUUCCCAAAGGACAUCCUGAAGAAACUUCUCCAGGGUCUAGCCGUGCCGGUGGGACUGAGCCCCUGACAGCUUUGAUCCUGGCAUCAAAGGGGACACUGAACUAUAUGAGGGCCCAGGAAUUGUCAGAGGUCUCACCCUCCCACCCCAGCCCCUCACCUCCCACCCCCAUCCCAGUGGAGGCCCUGGGCUCUCAGGAAGGGGAGAGAGAAGGGUCUGGGGUUCAGCAGGCACCCCUCAGCCAGGUUACCCUUCUUCCUGGGCCUGGUCUUAUCACCCCCACCAUUUUUAUUUUACAUUGAAGGAUAAUUGCUUUACGAUGUGUUGGUUCCUGCGGUACAACAGCAUGAAUCAGCCUGAAGUAUACAUAUAUCCCCUCCCUAUGAAGCCCCCCUUCCUCUGAAGCCCCCCUCUCCCCUCUAGGUCAUCACGGAGCACCGGGCUGAGGUCCCUGUUACACAGCGAAUUCCCACUAGCUGCCUAUUUUACACAUGAUAGUGUAUAUGCUUCAAUGCUUGUGCUCACCAUCUUUAAGGGCUUACCUUGUACCCUCUGUCCUUACCACUGAAGAGGUUACUGAUAAAAGCUGUGGGGUCCCCUAGAACGAGUUUCCCCCAUUCUUGCAGCUUUGGAAGGCAGAAGGUUGAAUGGCCAGUGGUGGAGUUUGAGACGCCGGCAGGGUGAUCUGGGGACAGGGCUCUCCCUGGUGGACGCAGCACUAGCCUGGGGAACGGUGUCUGCACCCCGCCUUCUUCCCUUCCCAGGUGGUCUUCCUCUUGUCUGCACAGGCCUUUCCUUGUUCUGUGGAAAAUCAGACAGGAAGCUGACACUUUCCUCGAAGGAUGCUCUGAGCAAGUUUGUUCUUCCUAUGCUCCGUCUCUUCCUUUCUGCAGGGAGGGUACCCCACGAGCCCUCCUUUCUCAGCAGCCUAUGAGAUGACUUCUUGAAGCUCAAAGCUGUGGGCAAAGAGGAAGGAGCUCUGUGGCCAUGUCAUUGUUUCUCUCCUGGGGAGUGGAGACUGUUUACCUUCAUGUUACCCCAGUAACCACGUGGUUUCCUGGCCAUGUUGGGCAAUGAGAUUCUGGAUGAGUAGACAAAGGGAUCUUGGGGCCGAAAAGGAGCCCAUGGUCCUUCUGCCUCCUGCCCUCCACUCAGGACGUGUCAGCCCCAUUUUCAGGUGAAGCAGCUAAGGCCCUAAGAGGUUGUAUGAUGUGCCCGGGGCUGCAGAGGGAGGUGGUGGCCAGGGCCAGACAGCAGACUGGAACCCACCAGCCCUGGAGCCCCUGAGCCCCAGGGCCGCUGCCACCGCGCCUGGCGUGCAGCCUUCAUCCUGGUCAGGCUCAGGCCGAGCCCUUACCCUCCAGGUAGGAGCCACUGUGGCUCCCAUUUCACAGAGGAGCAGAGACACUCAGAGAUGUUAAUAAAACAACAGAUACAUGUUGGUUCCCUAUUUAAAAUGUACCUCCAUCCCCCUCGUCUCCACCAUGAAGAUGAAGCGAGUGAUGACGUCACUGAUCUGGGGGACACCUGAAGCCCCUCUUUCCCUCCCUUCAGUGCACACUCAUUUUCCCCCCACCCCCUGGCUGAUGCAAGUGGUCGGAUGAUCCCAGCAGACCUUGCACAGCACUAGGGGCACCAAACUGGAGACCUGCCAGGUGCUAGACUGCACCCUGGAGCCAGACGAGGAGCAACCGACAGGCACAGUGGCUGCUGGACGGGAGAGCGGCUUCAAGUGGCUUGAAAAGACCCCUUUUGCCUCAGUGUCGCAUCUGCCUCUGCUACAUCAGAUGUUCUCAGAUGAAGAAUUCAUCAACCACAUGGGGGAUUCCAUACCUGCCCCAGACCCCUUCAUGACACGGGAUGCUCAGGCGAGGAUUCCUGAGGGCUCGGGAUCUACUUCUUCUCUUGCUAAAAGAGGAGUGUUAAGAUCUCCAGCUGGAAUUGGAAAUGACGUCUCUUCAGUUCUAGAUUCCUCCAAGACCAAAUCCGAGCCAUUUCCCGAGACCAAGUCAAGACUGUUUUGCUUGAGACCCUGAUGGCUAGAAUAGAAAAUCAACACUAUGGGCCUUGGACUUCUUCCUCCCAGAUCACAAAGCAUUGACUCUCAUUUAUCAGCAAGAAGAAGCCCUGAACAUUAAUGGCGCCCACCUCUCUUUCUGUUUUUGUAUAUAUUCCUUAGGGUCUGGAAUGAAGGACAGUUACAUGGCUCAAAAUAGCCUGGAGUUAAGAUUCCCCUCCAGGUCCUCCCCUCCAUUCUGUGCAAAACAAAGAACUCUCUCACCCAAAGAGAAAAAUGGACAUUAAGGCUGAUUAAGCCCAGCUCUCAGCCGGUCCAGCCUCUGCCGGAUCUCCAAAAUUCCUUGCCCCAGCCCUUUAAGAGAUAACUACUAACAACCUUGGAGAAGAACAGGCCCCCCGAAGACAGUAGCUUUCCACAUAGAUGCCUAUAUAUAC
This is a long non-coding RNA of Bubalus bubalis (water buffalo), 3424 nucleotides long. RefSeq lists it as uncharacterized. The transcript is spliced from 4 exons. The record is from RefSeq and is a predicted model, not a curated record. NCBI's taxonomy places the organism in Eukaryota, Metazoa, Chordata, Mammalia, Artiodactyla, Bovidae.